RNAcentral lists this ribosomal RNA (468 nucleotides) under uncultured bacterium. Its description in RNAcentral is "partial 16S ribosomal RNA". It matches the Rfam family "Bacterial small subunit ribosomal RNA", at positions 28 to 507 of the family's 1533-position model. The record is from RNAcentral.
GACGAACGCUGGCGGCGUGCUUAACACAUGCAAGUCGAACGGAAAGGCCCUGCUUUUGUGGGGUGCUCGAGUGGCGAACGGGUGAGUAACACGUGAGUAACCUGCCCUUGACUUUGGGAUAACUUCAGGAAACUGGGGCUAAUACCGGAUAGGAGCUCCUGCUGCAUGGUGGGGGUUGGAAAGUUUCGGCGGUUGGGGAUGGACUCGCGGCUUAUCAGCUUGUUGGUGGGGUAGUGGCUUACCAAGGCUUUGACGGGUAGCCGGCCUGAGAGGGGGACCGGCCACGUUGGGACUGAGAUACGGCCCAGACUCCUACGGGAGGCAGCAGUGGGGAAUAUUGCACAAUGGGCGGAAGCCUGAUGCAGCAACGCCGCGUGCGGGAUGACGGCCUUCGGGUUGUAAACCGCUUUCGCCUGUGACGAAGCGUGAGUGACGGUAAUGGGUAAAGAAGCACCGGCUAACUACGUG